AUGGUCGUCUACGGAUUUCAGCGAAGAAACAAGCUAACAAUGAUGGAUAUACCCUACAUUUUCAUUCCAGAAGAUUGGCCAUUCACUUUCUACGAGGGUCCCAAUUGGCAUGCAGAUUCCAUCUUCAGGGAUAUGACAGUAGCAGAGCUAGGAUGUGGCAAUGGUUGGAUAUCAAUUUCACUUGCAGAAAAGAGGCGCCCUUGGAAGGUUGACACCUCUUGUUCUGUAGAUAUUUAUCUUAUCUCAUUUGUUGGAAACAUGGGAUCUGUACAAGUUAGACAUUUACUCUGGUUACUUGAUAUGAAACUUUUAGCUGUCUGCGUGCUGGGCUGGGACAGAGGUGCUCCUUAUCCACGGUCCAGCACAGGGAGAGUAGUCCUUCAUCCAUGCGGUUCUGCUAGAGGGACGGCGCAGCCUCGCGAUUCAGCCAAUACGACAUGGCUAGCUGCUCCACCUCACGGCCAACCUGGAGCAGCAGUGCCCAAAUAG
Molecule: ribosomal RNA, 489 nt
Filed under: Triticum aestivum (bread wheat)
Lineage: Eukaryota; Viridiplantae; Streptophyta; Magnoliopsida; Poales; Poaceae
Description: partial small subunit ribosomal RNA
Source: RNAcentral